CCUACGGGAGGCAGCAGUGGGGAAUAUUGCACAAUGGGGGGAACCCUGAUGCAGCGACGCCGCGUGAGUGAAGAAGUAUUUCGGUAUGUAAAGCUCUAUCAGCAGGGAAGAAGAUGACGGUACCUGACUAAGAAGCCCCGGCUAACUACGUGCCAGCAGCCGCGGUAAUACGUAGGGGGCAAGCGUUAUCCGGAUUUACUGGGUGUAAAGGGAGCGUAGACGGCAGCACAAGUCUGGAGUGAAAUGCCGGGGCUUAACCCCGGAACUGCUUUGGAAAUUGUGCAGCUAGAGUGCAGGAGAGGUAAGUGGAAUUCCUAGUGUAGCGGUGAAAUGCGUAGAUAUUAGGAGGAACACCAGUGGCGAAGGCGGCUUACUGGACUGUAACUGACGUUGAGGCUCGAAAGCGUGGGGAGCAAACAGGAUUAGAUACCCGAGUAGUC
RNAcentral lists this ribosomal RNA (440 nucleotides) under uncultured bacterium. RNAcentral's name for it is "partial 16S ribosomal RNA". It matches the Rfam family "Bacterial small subunit ribosomal RNA", at positions 338 to 795 of the family's 1533-position model. The record is from RNAcentral.